AUUGAACGCUGGCGGCAUGCCUAACACAUGCAAGUCGAACGGCAGCACAGAGGAGCUUGCUCCUUGGGUGGCGAGUGGCGGACGGGUGAGUAAGGCAUCGGGAUCUGCCCCGACGUGGGGGAUAACGUAGGGAAACUUACGCUAAUACCGCAUACGUCCUAYGGGAGAAAGCGGGGGACCUUCGGGCCUCGCGCGGCGGGAUGAACCGAUGUGCGAUUAGCUAGUUGGCGGGGUAACGGCCCACCAAGGCGACGAUCGCUAGCUGGUCUGAGAGGAUGAUCAGCCACACUGGGACUGAGACACGGCCCAGACUCCUACGGGAGGCAGCAGUGGGGAAUAUUGGACAAUGGGCGCAAGCCUGAUCCAGCAAUGCCGCGUGUGUGAAGAAGGCCUUCGGGUUGUAAAGCACUUUUAUCAGGAGCGAAAUGCCAUCGGCCAAUACCCGGUGGAGCUGACGGUACCUGAGGAAUAAGCACCGGCUAACUUCGUGCCAGCAGCCGCGGUAAU
Molecule: ribosomal RNA, 507 nt
Filed under: uncultured bacterium
Lineage: Bacteria
Description: bacterial SSU rRNA
Rfam family: Bacterial small subunit ribosomal RNA
Source: RNAcentral